RNAcentral lists this ribosomal RNA (497 nucleotides) under uncultured bacterium. RNAcentral's name for it is "partial 16S ribosomal RNA". It matches the Rfam family "Bacterial small subunit ribosomal RNA", at positions 28 to 507 of the family's 1533-position model. The record is from RNAcentral.
GAUGAACGCUGGCGGCGUGCUUAAUACAUGCAAGUCGAGCGAACAGACGCGGAGCUUGCUCCUCUGACGUUAGCAACGGACGGGUAAGUAACAAGUAACCAACCUACCUAUAAGACUGGGAUCACUUAGGGAAACUGGAGUUCCUACCGGGUACUAUAUCGACCCGCAUGGUUCUAUAGUGAAAGAUGGUUUUGCUGUCACUUCUAGAUGGAUCCGCGCGGCAUUAGCUGGUUGGUAGGGUAACGCCUUAACAAGGCAACGAUGCGUAGCCGACCGGAGAGGGGGAUCGGCCACCCUGGAGCUGGAACACGGUCCAGGCGCCUGCGAGAGGCAGCAGUAGGGAAUCGUCCGCAAUGGUCGAGAGCUUGACGGAGCAGCGCCGCGUGAGUGAUGAAGGUCUUCGGAGCGUAAAACUCGGUUAUUAGUUAAGAACAAAUGUGUAAGUAACUAUACACGACUUGACGGUACCUGAACAGAAAGCCACGGCUAACUACGUG